UGCGUAGGUGGUUUCUUAAGUCAGAGGUGAAAGGCUACGGCUCAACCGUAGUAAGCCUUUGAAACUGGGAAACUUGAGUGCAGGAGAGGAGAGUGGAAUUCCUAGUGUAGCGGUGAAAUGCGUAGAUAUUAGGAGGAACACCAGUUGCGAAGGCGGCUCUCUGGACUGUAACUGACACUGAGGCUCGAAAGCCAGGGGAGCGAACG
RNAcentral lists this ribosomal RNA (206 nucleotides) under uncultured bacterium. RNAcentral's name for it is "partial 16S ribosomal RNA". It matches the Rfam family "Bacterial small subunit ribosomal RNA", at positions 568 to 774 of the family's 1533-position model. The record is from RNAcentral.